AUGGAGAGAGAAUAAUCAUCCCUUUCCGUGAUUCAAAGAGUUUCUCGACAUUUCUUCCAAAGAGGAACAACAAUGGCGAAAAAUAAAUCCUUAGAAAUGUCUGAAGAAACGAAAAAAAAUCCAUGAAUCAUAACUUCUACUUCUUUUUUAAAUCAAAUCAGAAACCAGUCAUCCUUUCCUAAGAAGAAAUCUUGUUGAUUCUCGAAUUUGAGAAUAAUGUUGGAAAAAUUAAGUAGUAUACGAUCGUCUACAUACGUAAUAGGAAUAUCGAAUUUGGUUGUGAUAGUUUUAGGUGUGAUUUUAGUGAUUUAUUCAUCGUUUGGGAGAUGUAAUGGUGGUAAAAUUCUUCCAUUAAUAGUUGUUGCAAUGGCUGCUUCUGUUAGAAUCAUUGCUAUGUUUGGUAUAGCGAUUGCUCAACAAGCUACCGCCACAAGUAUACUGAGCUCAACUCAGGUUGAUUCUUCUUCUUCUGCUGUUGAUGCUGUUAACCGCAAUGAACGACGGAUGAGGUAUAAAAGGUGGCUGUGGUGGACUCGGUUUGGAAUGGUAAUUACCGUAUUACAGUUUUUUGGGGCAAGUUAUUUAAUGAUCAUCAUACUACAAUAUUUUUCUCAAUCUGGAAAAUCAAGUUGGUGUUUUCUAGAUCCAAAUCAUAAUGCAUUGGAGCGGAAGUUACUGGUCGCUUUUCUCGUUCUUGUGUGGUUUGUGGUCAUUAUACAAUGUAUAGCAGGAUCUGAUGUAUUGAGAUGGAGGUCUUUCUAUGCAACUCAUGAUAAUGCAUGGAAAGCUCAUUACCACGAGGUUUUUGAUCAUGGAAUUCGUGAAGUUUUGUGCUGUCUCGGGCGAGUAAAAUACUUGAGUGUCUUGGAGGAAGAUGAGGUAUACUCUGUAGCACGGCUUUUGGGCGACCUUGUUGCAUAUCGUGCAUCUGGAACUGGGCAUUUGGAACUUUUGGCAGGACUUGCUUUAUUACAGAGACCAAGGCCAUUAACAAGUAACGAAGAUGAUUUACUGGAGGCACCUGAAGAAACGAUUCGAGAGGCGGCUUCCCUUCAUCAAUUUACCGAAGCUGCCUACACGGGUCCAUUGCUUGAUUUUGGAAGGAACCCCAUAUUGUUCCCUUGUGCAUGGCUCUAUAGGCAAGGGGUUGUGACCCCCUGGACUCGAAACAGGCGACCUGUUCUUGGAGGUGAUAACUGGUGGCGGGGACACGCAGCUGCCUUUUUAAAUUACGUUAACCUUUCCCCAGAAUCACUUCGGCAAGGGCGAGUUUGUCAGGCAAAGUGUGAAGCUGCAUACUUCGUCGUGGUUUUACAUCACCUGAGAUCUGUGGUUAUUGCUGUACGUGGAACGGAGACUCCUGAAGACCUUAUAACUGAUGGUUUGUGCAGGGAAUGCACCCUUUCAGAGAAAGAUUUGGAUGGUUUGAUAAGUAGCAAUAGCAUUAUCAACCCAGAUGUGAAGCAAGGGGUUCUCUCAAGUUUUCCGCAUCAUGGGCAUUCAGGAAUAGUUGAAACUGCACGGGAGCUAUUCAUGCAAAUUGAUGGCGUACCUGAGAGUAAAGAUAGUGAACAGGAUGCCACUGGAUUUCUUUCCUCGUUAAUGGGACCCGAUUGUGAAUGUCAUGGAUACAAUAUUCGGAUUGUGGGGCAUUCUCUUGGAGGUUCUAUUAGUGCCUUACUUGGAAUAAGGUUAUAUGGCCGGUUUCCGAAUUUGCAUGUGUAUUCGUUUGGACCCCUACCAUGUGUGGAUUCAAUCGUUGCAGAUUCAUGUUCAGACUUCGUUACAAGCAUCGUAUACAAUGAUGAAUUUUCUGCACGGCUUUCAGUAAAUUCAAUUCUUAGGCUUCGUGCCGCAUCAAUCACAGCAUUGUCAGAGGAUUCUGCUGCUGAUUCAGUCAUGAUUUUCAGACUUGCUCGGCGAGUAAUGCAGCUUAGCAGUUUUAAGUCCAACGAGGAGGCAGUUCCUGCUUCCUCCUUGGAAAGUGAGACCAUGACACCUCAAGACAGUAACCACCAUAUUCACAGAAGAAGACACUACAACUAUGUUAUAGAAGGGGGUGCCGAACAGGAUCAGGAGUUCCCUGCUUUCAACGUUACAGAUUUUACCGAAAGCCAAGAUACUGCAAUUCUAAAAGAAAACUCUGAGCAAGUUGGCUGCUAUGAUACACUUAGUAGUUGCACCACUCCAUGCAUUGAAGUGAAGGAAGAUGUAAUUACGUGUGAAGAUCCUGUGUCUAAAUUUAUGAAUGCUGUCCCAUCGUCUGAUGAAACCUCAGCAGGAGAUCCCCCAGAGAUGUACCUCCCAGGUGUUGUUAUACUAAUGUUGCCAAAAAAGAAAAGCUUUUUGCCGAUCUGGGGUGGGUGGAAAAUUCAUGAAAGAGACCAAGGUUAUAGAGCCUACAUUGCAAAGAAGGAAAGUUUUAAAGAUAUUAUUGUUUCGCCAUUUAUGUUCCUCGAUCAUCUGCCUUGGAGAUGUCAUUAUGCCCUGCAGAAAGUACUAGAAGCCCGACAAGCACAAUCUCAACAAGAUUUAUCUGCUUUGGUGUAGAUAUGAAUCAUUUGAUUUUGACUCAUCGAUUCAUGCUCUCUUCAGUGGUCAAAUUGUUGCAUCCGUGGAAUAUUUUACAAGUUUGCAGCAGUCCCUUAACCAUCAUCCUGUAGAUACUCGAUUCAUUUGAGCAAGGGUUGCGAUCCUGGUUGGGUCUCUACCCCCGAGCAUUUGUGGAAAAGAAAGAAUAGAGACAAAUAUGCAGACUGGUGUGCAGGCUGGCAAAUAAGACUAAUCCUGAAACAAGCAAUCGGUUCUAUGUCAGUUGAUUUCAUAUACCCAGGUGAGGUGAUGAUGGAUAUUAACAUUUAGAACCAUUCAGCGAGGAAGAUCUACACUACAAUAGACGUUUUCCCACAAAAUCCACUGUUUCAGAAAAUGUCUGUGUAGGGUGGCUGAGUUGAACUGAGUUAAAUAGGUCAGAUGAAGAUUCACUGGGUUCACACAGCGUCGCACUUGAGUCGAUGGAUUAACAGAAACCUUGCAAGUCUAUUUUUGUAGGACCAUAUCUGUGUAGAUGUUUUCUGAGAAGUUAAGAUAAAGGGUGUUUUUUGUUUGGUUCUGGGGUUACAGUCAGAGAUUGUUAACGGAAACUGAGAUAAAUCAAACUAGUCCUCCGCUUUGAAGAACGAAAGAGUAAAAAGAAGAAAUCAUGUGAAAACUGAUAAAUACACGCCAACCAACUUUGAUUGCAACUCAAGUGUUCGUUAGUUUGUUAUCACAACUCACACCACAAGAGUACGACACUAAACUGCGCGUCGAUCAAAAACUCUAUUCGUCUCGUGUCUUCACAAAUAAAUACCCAAUUAGGGUAUUCACGAGUUUCAUUUUCAAAGUCCGUUUGCUUUAAGCUCCUCCACCUUUUAGAGGUGAACUGACAACCACUAAACGAAGUUUUUGCUUCAAGCAUCUGUCUACAAGUACGAACUACCACCCCUUUUUAAUCUCAAAGUCUCUCCUUCCUGGAUGGAAUGGAAUCAUAUCAAAAGGACGGUCAUUUUGAUCUCAAAAUUGAAUCUCUCCAAUACGCAAAUGACGAACGCUGUGACGCAAAGCGAUCCAAGAUACACGUGUGAUGUGCUACAAACUCGUUUUGGUGAUCAAGAAAAGGAUCUUUUUAUAGUAUCUCCUCCCGUGGCCUUUUCCUUCUAGAAUUAUAUGACAGCACAAGAGUAAUUGUCAAGAUUGGUUAAUUAGAUUAUUAUUAGUGG
Molecule: RNA transcript, 3761 nt
Organism: Papaver somniferum (opium poppy)
Lineage: Eukaryota; Viridiplantae; Streptophyta; Magnoliopsida; Ranunculales; Papaveraceae
Exons: 15
Source: RefSeq, a predicted model, not a curated record